CUUCACUUCAAAGUAGAGGUUUGUGGUAAUGGUGGACUGACAGAUUAGCUCCAAGGCCUGAGCGCCUAGGUUGUAGUGGUAAGAGUCACUGCCGAUAGAGUUCCAACUGCCAGAGUCUUCAAUAAGAAAGAGGCGUCUAAGUAAACAAAAGUGAGAUCUUUCUAGUUCUUGAACUAGCCUUCCCCAUCUUGAACUCAAGUGAGGAACUCUUCUCUUAUAUAAGCUAUUUCUCCUUGAAAUGCUAUUCUAUCCAUCUUAUUCUUCUAUGUAAGUAAAGACUAGCAGGGCAUUCUGUUGCAUCAAUUUCUCUCUCACUCACGAUGAAAGCUAAGAGCUUGCUCGAAGACAACCUUUACUUUUUAGAAGUAAUCUUUCCUAUUCUUUAGGUGGGGAUAGGUUCAUAGGAGAACUUGGUUACAUAGGAAGGAAAGGCUUAAACAAGAAGGGAUAAGAAAGGAAGUUACACUAUAUCUUGGUAAUGGCACUCCAACAUACUCGGCAAGAAGAGAAAGAAGAGAAAGAGAAUAGGAAGUAUGAUGAAAAUGGUAUGAAAUAGGUUUCUUGUAGUGAUUGUGAUUUCUUAUUUGGUUAGGAUUACCAGCCUGACCAAAGAAUAAGAUAAAAAGAAGAGUUCCCACCUAUGACUAUAUGCCCAUUAAGAGCUAUACCUAGAGUCGAGCUAACUGCAUAGGCAGAGGGGAAAUUUCCUAAAAAUCCUAAUAGAAAUUAACCACAUUAGAAAUGAUGAAUCACACUUUGAAAGGAGGUUCCCUCCCAAUAGAUGUCAGGAGGGAGCAAGGCAUGAUUUCUGUAUUAUCCUCCGACCGCCCCCUUUCAACCUCGAAGUAGUGGUGAUGGCGUGUCUUGCUGCAAUCAUUCCGUUCAAUCCAUUUCCUAAACCAUAUGUAAGGGAUGACAGGAGAUGGCCCCUAUAGAAAAAUAAACCAGCCCCUCAUUUGAGAGAGUAAAUAGAAUAGUGUCAGGCUUACGACAGUCUGACUUUUAAAUGACUAAGCAACUACUAAGCUCCCACCCACCCCCAACAAAUUAGGUUAAUGUGUUCAUUCAUACCUUCAAGAGAACUAAAAUAUUGGCCCAUGACCAUGUUUACUUCAUAUUUAAGAGCAAACAUCUUGGCUCUCAGGGCCUCAGGCAACCCUGGAUCCUUUCCUACUUCCUUAGUGAUUCCAAGGAGAUGCUUCAACCCCGUUAAUUUUUAGAUAGCUAUUAUAGUCCAAUAAAUAUUUCCAAUUCCAUUUUGGAAUAUUUUCAUUCGGGAUUAGAAUGAACUAUAUUGUAAGAGAAGAGAGAAGUUGAACCAUCUUUCUUUGGUUGCCUCUCCUAUCUGGUCGAGUAGCUUUUGAUCCUUUCUACUUACUUUAUUAUAAUAUAUGCUUAAGCUGCUAUAUGGCCUAUUGGGAUAUUUUUAGUCAUAGUGGGAGCUUUUGGAAAUUACUUGGUAGGUCAAUAUCAUAGGAAGAGGGAAAAACAAGGGAGAAGAUCUUAUUUAAAAGAAGACGAUUCCAAAAAAAAAUGUCAAAACGGGGAAUAGGAUGCCUUAAAAGUAAAUAAGAAAGAUCCUAAAUAAAAAAUAAAAUAUCUAUUAAACCGAUUACAUGAAUACCAUUUACAGUACCUAUUAUCCAAAGAGGAAUUCUUCUAGUAGUAUCGGCUAUUUACCCCACUUCCCUCUAGAUUUCAUCAAGUGGUUAUGCUAGAGACAUAAACAACCUUGGAUAAUUGAAUUAUGAGAUCCUUUCGAACGAGUUAAGAGAAUCUUAUUUAUUCUCUUUCAUUUUGUUAAUUGUAGAAUAAUUUGAAAAUAAAAAAGCAAGUAUAAAAAUGAGUAAUAACACCCAGUAGAGUUUGGUAUGAUGAAAUUCAACAUUUUGUUCAUUUGGGUUUGAUUGUGUCGUAGCUCUAUAAUUUGGAUGUUCUUAUCGUUGGAUGAACUGCUGAUAUUGAUCCCCCAAAAAAGAUUGUAGGUAUAGCUAGGCCGUGAACAACCAACCAUCGUACUAUAAAAAUUAGAUAGGUUAGAUCUAUAGUUAUUAGGGCCUCUUAAAAUGAUCUACUAAAUUCAUUGAGUUGUUCCAAAGGAUCAAAAUGGCCAGUUAUUAAUGGAAUUCCUUGUUGGGUAAGUUUCGAUCUGCACGAAAGGUGUAAAGAUCUGGGCACUAUCUCAAAGAGAGGCUCGGUGAAAUAGACAUGUCUGUGAAGAUGCAGACUACCUGCACCUGGAUUGAAAGAUCCUAUAAAGCUUCGCUGUUCCUUGGGAUUAGCUUUGGGCCUUUCUUGUAUAGCUUAAGUGGAAAGCGAAGAAGGCCUCCUUCCAGGGGACCCGAGCUUCAGUGAGAUACCACUCUGGAAGGGCUAGAAUUCUAACCUUGUGUCAGGACAUAUGGGCCAAGGGGUAGUCUCAGGUAGACAGUUUCUAUGGGGCAUAGGCCUCCUAAAAGGUAACGAAGGUGUGCAAAGGUUUCCUCGAGAUAGACGAAGAUUGGCCCUCGAGUACAAAGGCAGAAGGGAGUUUGACUGCAAGACUCACCCAUCGAGCAGGGAUAAAAGUCGGCCUUAGUGAUCCAACAGUGCCGAGUGGAAGGGCCAUCACUCAAUGGAGAAAGGUUACUCUAGGGAUAACAGACUAAUCUUCCCCAAGAGCUCACAUUGACGGGAGUGUUUGGCACCACGAUGUUGGCUCUUCGCCACCUGGGGCUGUAGUAUGUUCCAAGGGUUCGGUUGUUCGCCCAUUAAAAUGGUACAUAAGCUAGGUUCAGAAUGUCGUGAGAUAGUUUGUCCAUAUCCGGUGUGGGCAUUAGAGCAUUGAGAGGACCUUUUCCCUUGUACGAGAGGGACAUGAAGGAUGCACUUUUGGUGUACCACUUAUUGUACCCACGGUAAAUACUUGGUAGCCAAGUGCAGAGUGGAUAACUACUGAAAUCAUCUAAGUAGUAAGCCCACCCCGAAAUGAGUGCUUUCCUAUUACAAAUUCCCUAGAGCUUCUGAUAGCACAACCGAGAUAGCGAUGGGUUCUCUGCCUCUGUAGGGAUAGAGCGACAGAACUUUUUUUGAGAAUUCAAGAGAAGGUCACGACGAGAUGAGACAUUAAUCAUUACGAUAGGUGUCAAGUGGAAGUGCAGCGAUGUAUGCAGCUGAGGCAUCCUAUCAGACCGGUAGAUUUGAAC
This 3185-nucleotide ribosomal RNA is filed under the name Capsicum chinense (habanero). RNAcentral describes it as "bacterial LSU rRNA". The stretch from base 2210 to 3174 matches the Rfam family "Bacterial large subunit ribosomal RNA", at positions 2048 to 2912 of the family's 2925-position model. Lineage: Eukaryota; Viridiplantae; Streptophyta; Magnoliopsida; Solanales; Solanaceae. The record is from RNAcentral.